This 130-nucleotide transfer RNA is filed under the name Candidatus Woesearchaeota archaeon CG10_big_fil_rev_8_21_14_0_10_32_24. RNAcentral describes it as "tRNA-OTHER". It matches the Rfam family "tRNA". From Rfam's summary of the family: Transfer RNA (tRNA) molecules are approximately 80 nucleotides in length. Their secondary structure includes four short double-helical elements and three loops (D, anti-codon, and T loops). Further hydrogen bonds mediate the characteristic L-shaped molecular structure. tRNAs have two regions of fundamental functional importance: the anti-codon, which is responsible for specific mRNA codon recognition, and the 3' end, to which the tRNAs corresponding amino acid is attached (by aminoacyl-tRNA synthetases). tRNAs cope with the degeneracy of the genetic code in two manners: having more than one tRNA (with a specific anti-codon) for a particular amino acid; and 'wobble' base-pairing, i.e. permitting non-standard base-pairing at the 3rd anti-codon position. The record is from RNAcentral. Lineage: Archaea; Nanobdellati; Candidatus Woesearchaeota.
GGGCCUAUAGCCUAGCCUGGAUACCGGUAAAUCUCAAUUUAACUCGCCAGGUAAGGUAAAUAGGGCGACAGCCUUCUACAUAUUAUGUGGAGAGAGCUGUAGACCGAGGGUUCGAAUCCCUCUAGGCCCG